GAGUUUGAUCCUGUCUCAGAACGAACGCUAUCGGUAUGCUUAACACAUGCAAGUCGGACGGACUAAUUAGGGCUUGCUCCAAUUAGUUAGUGGCAGACGGGUGAGUAACACGUGGGAAUCUGCCCAUCAGUACGGAAUAACUUUUAGAAAUAAAAGCUAAUACCGUAUAUUCUCUACAGAGGAAAGAUUUAUCGCUGAUGGAUGAGCCCGCGUCAGAUUAGGUAGUUGGUGAGGUAACGGCUCACCAAGCCGACGAUCUGUAGCUGGUCUGAGAGGAUGAUCAGCCACACUGGGACUGAGACACGGCCCAGACUCCUACGGGAGGCAGCAGUGGGGAAUAUUGGACAAUGGGCGAAAGCCUGAUCCAGCAAUACCGAGUGAGUGAUGAAGGCCCUAGGGUUGUAAAGCUCUUUUAGCAAGGAAGAUAAUGACGUUA
RNAcentral lists this ribosomal RNA (436 nucleotides) under Rickettsia felis. RNAcentral describes it as "bacterial SSU rRNA". It matches the Rfam family "Bacterial small subunit ribosomal RNA", at positions 9 to 459 of the family's 1533-position model. Lineage: Bacteria; Pseudomonadati; Pseudomonadota; Alphaproteobacteria; Rickettsiales; Rickettsiaceae. The record is from RNAcentral.